CCUUAGAUUUUUGCCUAAUUUUUCAAAUGGGUUGCCCCUGCCCUCUUCCAUAUUAAUGGUUUGGUCAUUAUCAAGUAAGUUAAUUACCCUCUAGUUUAAUGGAUUUUUGUUUUUUAAUUGGGUAUUUUCUUUUAAUUUAAAUGGAUCCUUAGUGGAAGUAUUCGGGUCCUUACUCAUAUUAAACGGAUCCACAAACGAUUGACCACGCAUUCACGUUUUACUUAUACAAAAGGUUAAUAAUAAUCUCACCUAACAUCAUUAUGAAAAACUUAAUCAUGAAGAAAUCAAUUAGAUUUCAUUGAAUCUUCCUCUCUUACAUUUUGAUUGUUGAUCGAGACGAGCAAGAUCUAGCCACUAUUAUUGGAGACCACGGUGGCCAUGGAAAGAAACAUCACACCAACCUUAUCUGCAAAUUUUGACGGAGACGGCUGCCGGCCUGGAUUUUUUCAUGGGUCCAAGUCAACAAGUCCAGAUCACUCCUAGUUGUGUGGUUGUUUAAUAAAAUAAUAGAAGUAUGGAAACUGGUUGUGCAGCCUUAGAGGAUCCUAAUCGAUGGCACGAGUUUUUUCAAAAUCGAUUCACAACGGCGGAGAUACUAUGAUGAUGUUGUAUAUGGUGGGCUUCUCUCUCUCCAUCUUGUCCAUGGCGAUCUUCGUAUGUGGAAAAUCCAAGAAAAAAAUGAAACAUGGUGGCCAUGGUGGUAGUUCUAGUGCCGAUGGCGGUGAUGGAGGAGGUGGCGGCAACGGAGGAGGUGGUGGCGGCAACGGAGGAGGUGGUGGCGGCAAUGGAGGAGGUGGUGGCGGCAACGGAGGAGGCUAGGAGGAGUAGUUAAUGCUUAACUAUAGUAUAAUUAUAUAAAUAAAAUAAGAAUUGUUAUUUUCUAUUUUGUGAAUGAUUGGUUUGAGCAAAGAUUGAUCAAUAUAUAUGCAAAUACACUACAAAAAAAAUAAACUUUUAACGACCGAUUUUGGCAUUAAUGUCUAAAUUUUCGCCUAUCUUUUGAAAUCAUUCUUUCGAAAACCCACAAAAAAUCAUAAAUCCCCAAUUCUGUUUGUCUAAUUUUUGUCUAUAUGGUCUUAAAAUUAUAAUUUUUAUUUAAAUAUUUUUUUUCGGGUUGGUAGAUCUCU
This 1127-nucleotide long non-coding RNA is filed under the name Zostera marina. RNAcentral's name for it is "long non-coding RNA (ZMAR_LNC002571)". The record is from RNAcentral. Lineage: Eukaryota; Viridiplantae; Streptophyta; Magnoliopsida; Alismatales; Zosteraceae.